RNAcentral lists this ribosomal RNA (119 nucleotides) under Trichobilharzia regenti. The record is from RNAcentral. Lineage: Eukaryota; Metazoa; Platyhelminthes; Trematoda; Strigeidida; Schistosomatidae.
UUCGGCGACCAUACCACGUUGAAAGCACCGGUUCUUGUCCAAUCACCGAAGAUAAGCAACGCUGGUCCCGGUUAUUUCUUGCAUGGGUAAUCGGCUGGGAAUACCAAGUGUUGCUGGCU